GAUGAACGCUGGCGGCGUGCCUAAUACAUGCAAGUCGAGCGAACAGACGAGGAGCUUGCUCCUCUGACGUUAGCGGCGGACGGGUGAGUAACACGUGGAUAACCUACCUAUAAGACUGGGAUAACUUCGGGAAACCGGAGCUAAUACCGGAUAACAUGUCGAACCGCAUGGUUCAACAGUGAAAGACGGUUUUGCUGUCACUUAUAGAUGGAUCCGCGCCGCAUUAGCUAGUUGGUAAGGUAACGGCUUACCAAGGCAACGAUGCGUAGCCGACCUGAGAGGGUGAUCGGCCACACUGGAACUGAGACACGGUCCAGACUCCUACGGGAGGCAGCAGUAGGGAAUCUUCCGCAAUGGGCGAAAGCCUGACGGAGCAACGCCGCGUGAGUGAAGAAGGUCUUCGGAUCGUAAAACUCUGUUAUUAGGGAAGAACAAAUGUGUAAGUAACUAUGCACGUCUUGACGGUACCUAAUCAGAAAGCCACGGCUAACUACGUG
This 497-nucleotide ribosomal RNA is filed under the name uncultured bacterium. Its description in RNAcentral is "partial 16S ribosomal RNA". It matches the Rfam family "Bacterial small subunit ribosomal RNA", at positions 28 to 507 of the family's 1533-position model. The record is from RNAcentral.